CGAGCACGCGCGUGUGGCAUAUCAAUAAGCGGAGGAAAAGAAACUAACAAGGGUUCCCUUAGUAACGGCGAGUGAAGCGGGAAGAGCUCAAAUUUGAAAUCUUCAAGGUUCUACCUUGACGAAUUGUAGUUUAUAGAAGUGUUUUCUGUUAGUAGGAGUGGCAAAAGUUCUUUGGAAUAGGACAUCAUAGAGGGUGAGAAUCCCGUAUUUGGUCAUUCUUUCUAGCUUUGUGAUACACUUUCAACGAGUCGGAUUGUUUGGGAAUGUAGUCCAAAAUGGGUGGUAAAUUUCAUCUAAAGCUAAAUAUUGGCGAGAGACCGAUAGCGAACAAGUACCGUGAGGGAAAGAUGAAAAGAACUUUGAAAAGAGAGUUAAACAGUGCGUGAAAUUGUCAAAAGGGAAGCGCUUUGACACCAGUGUUGUUUUUCCGAAAAUCAAUUACGAAUGUUUUAGUUUUUGAGGAGUUAUGACUUCAUCGGCUUGCUCCUUUCUUUAUGAAACUUUCUUAAUGCACUUUUCGGUUAACAAGUCAACAUCAAUUUCUUUUGUUGUAAAAGGGUAUGAGGAAGGUGGCUUUCUUUUCGGAGAAAGUGUUUAUAGCCUUGUGCCUCUGCAAUCGGAGAGAUUGAGGUCUGCAGCGUAGAUCCUUCGGGGUUAGAUACGUUUGUGCUAAGUUAUAGCUUUUCAUAGACAACUUGUUGACUAUGUUUAGUCUUGUAGCUUACUCGCUUACGCUAUUUUACCUACGCUUAGGAUGUUGAGUAGCGACAUACGCAC
RNAcentral lists this ribosomal RNA (777 nucleotides) under uncultured Neocallimastigales. RNAcentral describes it as "partial large subunit ribosomal RNA". It matches the Rfam family "Eukaryotic large subunit ribosomal RNA", at positions 19 to 634 of the family's 3401-position model. The record is from RNAcentral. Lineage: Eukaryota; Fungi; Neocallimastigomycota; Neocallimastigomycetes; Neocallimastigales.